This 1474-nucleotide long non-coding RNA is filed under the name Anser brachyrhynchus (Pink-footed goose). Its description in RNAcentral is "lncRNA (ENSABRG00000005255.1)". The record is from RNAcentral. Lineage: Eukaryota; Metazoa; Chordata; Aves; Anseriformes; Anatidae.
GUUUGUGAGGACCGUCAUUAGAGCUCACAAGAAUCACUUAUUAAAAAGUAAAAAAUGAAAACUAAAUAUAAUUUUAGUUGAAAAAUUUAAAUUGCUUUUGAAAGCUACUAUCUCUCUCAAAAUCAGGAUUCCAAAAAAUCUUUACUGGGUAUAUACAUGAAACAAUUGCAAAAUACUGAUAUUUAUCACCAAGCUAGAAAAAAAGCCGGAUUCUCCAGUACAUUACUCACCAGUAUCAGAGUACGUUUAGCUUUUGCAACAGUAACCUUUUCUUCAAACAAAUUUAACUUAUCUUAAUUCUGUACUAACCAAAUUAAUGUCAAUGUUUGACUAAUCAUGAUUUCAAAAAGAAAAAAGAUAAAUGUAGAUUAUUUCCCUUCUCUAGUGUAUGAAAAAAAUAGCAACAAAUCCCCUUAAAAAAAAAAAAAACACUUAAGAGGGGUUGAGAAUGACUAAUUUUAAGACCUUGAAGGACAGUGUCCUGAUACAACCAGGUGAGUUCUCUAACCACAGAAAGCACCUCCUCUAGUUAAGCAAGCUAGUUUCUUUUCGCUGCAAGUAUAUUUUUGUUCUGUUUUUCUCUGUACCUUUUUUUCUGUACGUUUCUCUGUACAUUUUUUCUAUGUUCUCUAGCACAUUUAAAAAUAGAGUUUUUAAUUAAGUUAGAAUCUUAAUCCUAUUAUCUUAAUUAAAAAUAGGCUACUGAAAAAUUAUUUUUAAAUCAUUUUUAAUACAUUUAUAAAUCUAAGGUCUCCACCUAAGUGCAAUAAGAAACAGAACACGUAAAAAUGACAGCAAUAAGCAUUACUUCGAGAUGUAGUAGAAAAACAAAUAUAGUUGUUCAAAAUUCCCAGGGUGAACAGGGACAGAGUACAGCUGAGCUCUCUCUAAUCAGAGAGAGGUGCUGCUAGGUCAGAACUGCCAGUAAGAAUGAAAUUUCCUUUGUAAAUACGUCUUUUUUCUCCAUAACAAGCUAAUAAAAUUAACACUGAUAAUGAAAUUUUUUCAUCUGCCACCUUGCUCCAGCCCCUUGCUCUCUCUGUCUUUGGAACUAAUAAGCUUUCUUUUUACCUCUCAUCCUCCCACUUCCAUUAACUGUGCUGGGACCACAGCAGAGCUGGGGAAGAACGGUGGCCAUAGCUUUGUAGUAGGCCUGCCGGCAGCUGCCAUCUUCUCAGCUAAUGUGGAGGAUCACCCACAGAGGUGUCACCCAACCCAAGCUGUACGCAUGUCUCAUCACACAAGGGGAAGGGAAUACUCAUAUCUGGAAGCAGUGAGGAAAAACACGAAGUUGCCCGAGACCCUCAGGGAAGAAAUGCCAGAGGCGUCAUCCAGUCCAGUUAAGAAUCAUUUGUGCAGGAAAAGCUGAGCCUCAAGGUUUCCAAUCUGUAUUGGCCUUGUUUAGCUUUGCUGCCUUCUGUCACUUUGAAAUGUUUUAAAUAAAUCUUUGUAUCUUAGGAAAACCGUGUAUACA